This 747-nucleotide long non-coding RNA is filed under the name Pan troglodytes (chimpanzee). RNAcentral's name for it is "long non-coding RNA NONPTRT000688". The record is from RNAcentral. Lineage: Eukaryota; Metazoa; Chordata; Mammalia; Primates; Hominidae.
UUUAAUCUUGGUUCUCCAGUGUCAGGAAGAGAUCCUUCAGUCAUGGGAGAACCUUUCUUGGCCGAGUUCAUAGUCAGAGGGAGAUGUGACUACAGAAGAAUGGUUGGACACGUGCAACACUGUGGGCUUUACAGAGGAAGGAAGGGGACAUGAGCCAAGGAACUCUGGCAGCCCCUAGAAGCUAAAAAAGGUAAUCAGGAAGUCUCCUAGGAUAAGGUUAUUAUAUUCAAGUCCUGCCAAAAAAUGGCAGGAAAAGAAGCUCCUAUUUGAGUGGGCCAAAAAGAACAAUUAUACCUCCUAAAAAUAAAAUGAACCUAAGCUAAGAAAAUGAAAACAUUUCUAAAGAAGAAGGUCAGUACUUCUUUUUUGGUCUCCUUUCAUCACUGUGUGAUUUACUUUAAUAGUACCCUGUCAAACUAGAUGACUCAGUGGCCUCAUCAUAGCUUACAGAGCAUUUCAUCUGUGGUCAUUCAUCCUGCCUAUGAAGAAAUUGACAUGUAGUCACUACAGAGAAACACUGCUCACCAAUGGUUGUUCACCACCAUACCCUCCUGAUCCUUGCCUAAUCAAACAGAGAGAUGCUAUCCUGCUUUUACCUACACAGAAAAAGAAAGAAGAUAAAACAAUGUUAGGGGGUUGCGGCUCAUUGAUGGUCAGAUAUGAAAAGCUGCUUCAAAUGCUGUCCCAUCAGUUCCUAAAACUGCAACAUGAAAAUGCAUCAUCAUGACUACCCUUUACCUAUCUCCC